GUCUAUGGUUAUACCACCCUGAACACACCUAAUCUUGGAAGCUAAGCAGGGUGAAGCCUGCUUAGUAGUUGGAUGGGAGAAAUGGUAACAAGUUAUGAUUCACA
Molecule: ribosomal RNA, 104 nt
Organism: Gorilla gorilla gorilla (western lowland gorilla)
Lineage: Eukaryota; Metazoa; Chordata; Mammalia; Primates; Hominidae
Source: Ensembl